ACGAGUGGCGAACGGGUGAGUAACACGUGGGUGAUCUGCCCUGCUCUUUGGGAUAAGCCUGGGAAACUGGGUCUAAUACCGAAUAGGACCCCUGACUGCAUGGUUGGGGGUGGAAAGCUUUUGCGGAGUGGGAUGGGCCCGCGGCCUAUCAGCUUGUUGGUGGGGUAAUGGCCUACCAAGGCGACGACGGGUAGCCGGCCUGAGAGGGCGACCGGCCACACUGGGACUGAGACACGGCCCAG
Molecule: ribosomal RNA, 242 nt
Filed under: uncultured bacterium
Lineage: Bacteria
Description: partial 16S ribosomal RNA
Rfam family: Bacterial small subunit ribosomal RNA
Source: RNAcentral